Molecule: ribosomal RNA, 230 nt
Filed under: Oenococcus oeni
Lineage: Bacteria; Bacillati; Bacillota; Bacilli; Lactobacillales; Lactobacillaceae
Description: partial 16S ribosomal RNA
Rfam family: Bacterial small subunit ribosomal RNA
Source: RNAcentral
UUUAAAUUGAGAGUUUGAUCCUGGCUCAGGAUGAACGCUGGUGGCGUGCCUAAUACAUGCAAGUCGUACGCUAGCCGCUGAAUUGAUCCUUCGGGUGAAGUGAGGCAAUGACUAGAGUGGCGAACUGGUGAGUAACACGUAAGAAACCUGCCCUUUAGUGGGGGAUAACAUUUGGAAACAGAUGCUAAUACCGCGUAACAACAAAUCACACAUGUGAUCUGUUUGAAAGG